RNAcentral lists this non-coding RNA (45 nucleotides) under Schistosoma mattheei. Lineage: Eukaryota; Metazoa; Platyhelminthes; Trematoda; Strigeidida; Schistosomatidae. The record is from RNAcentral.
AUACAGCUGAUGAGUCCCAAACAGAACGAAACGUGCGUCCUGGAU